RNAcentral lists this ribosomal RNA (396 nucleotides) under uncultured bacterium. RNAcentral describes it as "partial 16S ribosomal RNA". It matches the Rfam family "Bacterial small subunit ribosomal RNA", at positions 523 to 918 of the family's 1533-position model. The record is from RNAcentral.
AUACGUAGGGAGCGAGCGUUGUCCGGAAUUACUGGGUGUAAAGGGAGCGUAGGCGGGAGUGCAAGUCAGAUGUGAAAUACAUGGGCUCAACCCAUGGGCUGCAUUUGAAACUGCAUUUCUUGAGUGAAGGAGAGGGAAGCGGAAUUCCUGGUGUAGCGGUGAAAUGCGUAGAUAUUAGGAGGAACACCAGUGGCGAAGGCGGCCUGCUGGACGACAACUGACGCUGAGGCGCGAAAGCGUGGGGAGCAAACAGGAUUAGAUACCCUGGUAGUCCACGCUGUAAACGAUGAAUACUAGGUGUGGGGGGACUGACCCCCUCCGUGCCGCAGUUAACACAAUAAGUAUUCCACCUGGGGAGUACGAUCGCAAGAUUGAAACUCAAAGGAAUUGACGGGG